Long non-coding RNA from Salvelinus sp. IW2-2015, 295 nucleotides. RefSeq lists it as uncharacterized. The record is from RefSeq and is a predicted model, not a curated record. NCBI's taxonomy places the organism in Eukaryota, Metazoa, Chordata, Actinopteri, Salmoniformes, Salmonidae.
ACCUUGAGCAUUUUGAUUAAAAUUCUGUACUCUAUUCAGACCCAUUAGAUGCAGAACAAGGAUCUGGUGUGGCAAGAAGGAUGACUGAAGCGCAGUGGGUCCUGGCAUGAAGGAUUGGAACUCAUGUAGAGCUCUCCCUGUCAGGUGGCCAGUGAAUUUACAACUGCCAGUGUGUAGCUAAGAACAAGGAAUGAUGACGGAUAUCAAGCGAUGCAGUGGGAGAGUCCAURAUUUCAGACCACAUUUUAUACUGCGAGUUUACUGGUUUCCGCUAUCAAUAAAAUGUGUGAAUUAU